RNA transcript from Orcinus orca (killer whale), 5277 nucleotides. It is a transcript of the gene named TATA-box binding protein associated factor 4, with no coding region annotated. Lineage: Eukaryota; Metazoa; Chordata; Mammalia; Artiodactyla; Delphinidae. The record is from RefSeq and is a predicted model, not a curated record. The transcript is spliced from 17 exons.
CGGAGCCUCCUCCCCGCCCAGCGCCGGCCGAGCGGCGGCGGCGGCGGGCCGAGGAGGAAAGAUGGCGGCGGGCUCGGAUCUGCUGGACGAGGUCUUCUUCAACAGCGAGGUGGACGAGAAAGUGGUGAGCGACCUGGUGGGCUCGCUCGAGUCGCAGCUGGCGGCCAGCGCGGCCCACCACCACCACCUCGCGCCCCGCGCGCCCGAGGCGCGGGCCGCGGCCGCCGGCGCGCUCGGGAACCAUGUCGGAGCCGGAGCCGUGCCGGCCGAGGGCGCGCCCGCAGCGGCGCCGGAGCCGCCCCCCGCAGGGCCCGCCGCGAAGCUGAGCGCGCUCGAGGCCGGCGCGAGCGCCGCGGCCGGCGCCGGGGCCGGGGCGGGCGCCGCGGCCGGGGCCUGUGCGCCGGGGGCAGCGGCCGCGCCCGAGCCCGCCGCCAAGCCCGCCGCCCGCAACGGCCCGCCCGGCGGCCCCGGCGCCGCGCAAACUUUGAAUGGGAGCGCCGCGUUGGGGAACUCGCUCCGCGCCGCCGCCGCACCUGCUGUCAGCCUGCUCCACAACGGGCCCGCGCCCGCGCCGCCGCCGCCCAAGCCCGCCGCCGCCACUGUCAUCCAGACGCCGCCCUUCCUCGGCGCCCCCCCCGCGCCCGCGCCCCGCGCCCCCUCGCCCCCCGCGCCCGCCACGCCCGCCGCGCCCCCCGCGCCCGCCGCCGCUGCCCCGCCGCCGGCGCCGCCCGCCGCCGCCAGCCUGGCCCGGCCGCCCGGUCCCCCGGCCGGACCCCCGGUGGCCGCGCAGAACGGGGGCAGCGCCGCGCCCGCCCCCGCGCCCGCCCCCGCGCCCGCCCCGGCCCCAGCGCCCGUUUCUGCCCCGGCGCCCGCCGCCAACAGUCAGCCAGGGCCCGCCGCCGCGCCCGCGCAGGUGGCCAAGGCCGACUCGCCCAAGACUGCGCUGCAGCCGGCGCCCCCGCCGCCGCAGACCCUGGCGGCCAGCUGCCCGGCCGGCGCGGGGGCCGGCAUGAUCCUCGGGCCAACUAUGCAAGGGGCUCUGCCCGCCGCCGCCGGCCUCCCACCGCCGGCCCCCGGUACCCCCACCGGGCUGCCCAAGGGCUCGACCAGCGCGGUGACCCAGAGCCUGCCCAGGACGCCCUCGGCCACCACCGGCGGGAUCCGGGCCACGCUGACGCCCACGGUCCUCGCCCCACGCCUGCCGCAGCCGCCGCAGAACCCGACCAACAUCCAGAACUUCCAGCUGCCCCCAGGUAUGGUCCUCGUGCGGAGCGAGAACGGGCAGCUGUUAAUGAUUCCUCAGCAGGCCCUGGCCCAGAUGCAGGCCCAGGCCCACGCCCAGGCCCAGCCUCAGACCGCCAUGGCGCCCCGCCCGGCCACGCCCACAAGUGCCCCUCCCGUGCAGAUCUCCACCGUGCAGGCACCUGGGACCCCCAUUAUUGCACGGCAGGUGACCCCAACGACCAUAAUCAAGCAAGUGUCUCAGGCCCAGACGACGGUACAGCCCAGCACCGCGCUGCAGCGCUCUCCCGGGGUUCAGCCUCAGCUUGUUCUGGGUGGCGCUGCCCAGACACCCUCACUUGGGACGGCGACAGCUGUUCAGACGGGGACACCUCAGCGAACGGUCCCGGGGGCCACCACCACCUCCACAGCCGCCACGGAAACUAUGGAGAAUGUGAAGAAAUGUAAAAAUUUUUUAUCUACGCUAAUAAAACUGGCUUCAUCUGGUAAACAGUCUACAGAGACAGCCGCUAACGUGAAAGAACUGGUACAGAAUCUGCUGGACGGAAAAAUUGAAGCAGAAGAUUUCACUAGUAGGUUAUACCGAGAACUUAAUUCUUCACCUCAACCCUACCUUGUGCCUUUCCUGAAGAGGAGCUUGCCCGCCUUGAGACAGCUGACCCCCGACUCCGCGGCCUUCAUCCAGCAGAGUCAGCAGCAGCCGCCACCGGCCUCGCAGGCCACCACCGCACUCACGGCUGUGGUGCUCAGCAGCUCGGUGCAGCGCACGGCUGGGAAGACGGCGGCCACCGUGACCAGUGCCCUCCAGCCCCCUGUCAUCAGCCUCGCACAGCCCACGCCGGUGGGCGUCGGCAAGCAGGGGCAGCCCACGCCGCUGGUGAUCCAGCCGCCGCCCAAGCCUGGAGCGCUGAUCCGGCCGCCGCAGGUGACGCUGACACAGACGCCCAUGGUGGCGCUCCGGCAGCCCCACAACCGCAUCGUGCUCACCACGCCCCAGCAGAUCCAGCUGAACCAGCUGCAGCCAGUCCCUGUGGUGAAACCUGCCGUGUUACCUGGAACCAAAGCUCUUUCUACUGUCUCAGCACAAGCAGCUGCUGCACAGAAAAACAAGCUCAAGGAGCCCGGGGGAGGCUCGUUUAGGGACGACGAUGACAUCAAUGACGUAGCGUCGAUGGCCGGCGUGAACCUGUCGGAAGAAAGUGCGAGAAUAUUGGCUACGAACUCUGAGUUAGUGGGCACCCUGACGCGGUCCUGCAAAGACGAGACCUUCCUCCUCCCGGCGCCUCUGCAAAGAAGAAUAUUGGAAAUAGGUAAGAAACACGGCAUAACAGAGUUACACCCAGACGUGGUGAGUUACGUGUCACACGCCACGCAACAGAGGCUGCAGAACCUUGUAGAAAAGAUAUCAGAAACGGCUCAGCAAAAGAACUUCUCUUAUAAGGAUGAUGACAGAUACGAGCAGGCAAGUGAUGUCCGGGCUCAGCUCAAAUUUUUUGAACAGCUUGAUCAAAUUGAGAAACAGAGAAAGGACGAACAGGAGAGAGAGAUCUUGAUGCGGGCAGCAAAGUCUCGGUCCAGACAAGAAGAUCCAGAGCAGUUAAGGUUGAAACAGAAGGCAAAGGAGAUGCAGCAACAAGAACUGGCACAGAUGAGGCAGCGAGAUGCCAACCUCACAGCACUGGCUGCCAUCGGGCCCAGGAAAAAGAGGAAAGUGGACUCUCCGGCACCGGGAUCGGGAGUAGAGGUUGGUUGUGGUGUUUUUGACAGUGGAAAGAUUGCCUUCAAAGGAGAUACCAGCCUCCUUUCAUGAAUCCUCUCAGCAGUCCUGUGACAGGACGUGAUGAAUGGUCACACAGCACUUUCAGGGAGGAAGCUGGCCUCCGGGAGAAUGUAAACCGUGUGUCCACGGUCGCUUUGUUUCAACCCCAGUGCCUGCAAAUACAAAACAAAACACACCGAUCAGCCUCUCUGCUGGAGCGUGAGUGUUGUUGGAGGUGGACGCCGGCACCUGCCCCGCGGUUUUCUGUCAUCUGAGGUCACUGCUGGUCGCUCAGCUGCCGUGCCCGAGGGCCGCUUCCCCAGGCUUCCCGCAUGGGGCUCUGGGCCGGACCGGGCCUCGCGCCCGCAGGCUGGGCGCUGGGUUCCUGUGACCGCCUUCUGGCCAGGACACCCCAAGGGCAGUACGAUCAAAGGACGGCACUCACCCCAUGAAAUCAGAAGUCAUUUGAGUUGUCAAGUAGGAUGCCUCUGAGCACAUAGGCUUCUUAUUCAAGUCCGUAGAACAGUGACGCAUGGCAGCGUCGUGACCUUUGGAGCCUGAGACGUGCGGAGUGGGGCCGGUGUGGUCCCGGCCCCGGAGCCCUGGCUGUGGGCUGUGCUAACGCUUGCCUGUCCGGAUUGUUUGGAAGCACUGCUGACUUCUGAAAAAGAUCUCAUUAAAAUAUUACUGGCAGGGAUUGCUUGAGUUUCAGCUUUAAAUGCUGUGCCUGAAGGGAGCCCUCACCCCUGUCCCAGCUGGGUUUGGCCGUUGAACUGUUUUGAAAGUAAGAACAUCACACGUGGCCCAGAGUUGUAGCGAGUGUCACAGAAGACACCUGGCCCGUGGUUGAGGGAGCGCUUCGCUCUCCACGAGCCCCAAGGUCUGGCGCCGCCCUGUCUGUCCCGGGCGGGGAGGAGCUCCCACCCGCCUGACGGCCCGCCGGCCCCGCCCCAGCCGUCUGGCCAGGCGCUGGCCUCGGCUUGGCCUGCAGGCUCCCCCGCGGUGCAGAGGCUUCACACCCACAGGGCCCCCGGCGCAGGCCACUCCGGCCGCGGAGACGGAACCCCGUUUUCCUCCUGGCUCCUCUAAACUGUGUGCUUUCAUCACCCCCUUUUCAGGGCGGUUUGUCUUGUUCACAAAAUGCUCCUUUAGGGCCGUUACGGAGACUCAGGGGAAACUGCCAGGAAAACCUAAAUAGUUGUUCAAACACGGAAAAGUGUCACCAGAGGACCGGCCUGGAGGAGGGACCCCGGUGGUUUAGGGGUGUCUGAAGGGGGCGUAAAGAACACGCGGUUCACGGUGGAAGGUGGAAGAAGGGCGUGCGUGCCCUGAGCUGCCCUGAGUGCCCAGGAGGGACCAGCCUCACCUGCCACCUGCUGGCUGCUUGCUGUGCUGCCGCUUCCUCCAGCAUCCUAGGGCUCAUCGCUCCCACCUUAAACUUCGAGAGAACGCUGUAAAAAUACCACUGUAAGGUUUGCGCUUCAAAUAUACAAGAGCGACUUUAACCAUCAGAAUACAGACACUCAGUGUUCAUUCCGAGUGGAAAACCGAGGACUGUCCGAUUGGGAGUUGCGUGGUUCAUGCCUGCGAGUGUCGGUUGGAGGUGGUGACAUGCUGAAACCACGGGACGCUGCUGCUGAGGGGCGGCGACGCGGCAGGAGAGCGCCCGGAAACCCGCCUGUGCCAAGCGGGCAGGCAUCAGAGCCCCAGCCGUCGCCCGGAUCCCCCGCGGGCCGACCAGGCUGGGCGCCGAGCGGUACAGACCGGCAGAACCGCCGCUGUCAGCCCGGGGAAGCAGGGAGCCCCCUCCAGGCCAUGGACGACGUGGUGACUGUGGAGCCCUCGGCGCAGCCAGCCGCCCACCGCCAGCCCGCCCAGCCCAGGAGUCUAGACCUUGCGGCCUUGGGAAGUGUGCCUUUGCCGGCGAAGCGGGGAUGUCACGGCCGCCGCGGGCACAGCAUCAGCACACCUGAGUCCCUGGACGCCUGGAGGUCGGGGACGCCAGCCACAAGCCCUGGAGCUGUUCUGCCGUCCCCUUGGGGCAGGAGCCGCCACCUUUUCCUUCCUCGUGCCCCAGGGGCCAGAGUCUGAGCUCUGGGGGGAAUCUCGGGGGCUCGGGCCCAGGCUCAGCGGUCCCAGGCAGUUCCGGCGUCGGAACCCCCAGACAGUUCACGCGACAAAGGAUCACGCGGGUCAACCUCAGGGACCUCAUAUUUUGUUUAGAAAAUGAACGUGAGACAAGCCAUUCACUGUUGCUCUACAAAGCAUUCCUUAAG